CUGGGCAGGAUGAGAAGGGUCUGGCUGGAAGCCCUGCUCAGCCAACCACAUCUCUUCCCCAG
This 62-nucleotide microRNA precursor is filed under the name Mus pahari (shrew mouse). RNAcentral's name for it is "microRNA 6960 (MGP_PahariEiJ_G0007029.1)". The record is from RNAcentral. Lineage: Eukaryota; Metazoa; Chordata; Mammalia; Rodentia; Muridae.